This 699-nucleotide ribosomal RNA is filed under the name Triticum aestivum (bread wheat). RNAcentral's name for it is "partial small subunit ribosomal RNA". Lineage: Eukaryota; Viridiplantae; Streptophyta; Magnoliopsida; Poales; Poaceae. The record is from RNAcentral.
AUGGUGAAGGGAGUGACGCCGCGGGCACUGGAGCAGCGCGGCACGGCCCCGGAACUCGUCGCCGUGCAGGAGGCACCACGUGAUGAUGUUUUAAUGAAGGAUGCUGCAUUGAAACGCAAAAUCAUGGAAGUGCCAGGUUCCAAUCGUGGCGCCGCGGAGAAUAGCAAUGAUCAGAUUCGUGAUUCCAUGCUAGAGAUUCGGAAAAUACGGGAUUCUAUUCUUCGUAAGGAAUUCAUACUUCAAGACGGAAGUGCUCAAUGUGAUAUGGACAUACAGAAAAUUAAGACAGAAAAGAAGAUGACAACGGAAGUACUGUUGUCAAUAAUGGAGAAAUAUAAACAACCUAGCUCAAAUAUAAUGAAAGUUGCCAAUCUAGCUUUCUCUGGUGAUGAUGGCAUAACCAAGAGCACUAGGAGGAUGGAAUUGAACUUGAAGGAGGCACUCGCCCAACGCAAUAAAUGCAUGGUGCUUGAUGAGAUCUGUUAUGAUUGCGAUUGGAUGGCCCCUAGAUACACAGUAGUACCUUCACUAGCAGAUGGAAUGCACGUCAGUGAAGUACGUGUGAAAUGCCCUGAUUUUGCGAUGAGCAUCACUGGUGAUCCUUGUCCGACCCCACAUGAUGCGAGGUGCUCUGCAGCUGCCAAUAUGAUACUGGAGCUUGGCAAGAAGGCAGAGGAAAAAGAACAGCAUGAUAACUAA